This 443-nucleotide ribosomal RNA is filed under the name uncultured bacterium. Its description in RNAcentral is "partial 16S ribosomal RNA". It matches the Rfam family "Bacterial small subunit ribosomal RNA", at positions 338 to 795 of the family's 1533-position model. The record is from RNAcentral.
UCUACGGGUGGCAGCAGUGGGGAAUAUUGGGCAAUGGGCGCAAGCCUGACCCAGCAACGCCGCGUGAAGGAAGAAGGCUUUCGGGUUGUAAACUUCUUUUCUCAGGGACGAAGAAAGUGACGGUACCUGAGGAAUAAGCCACGGCUAACUACGUGCCAGCAGCCGCGGUAAUACGUAGGUGGCAAGCGUUAUCCGUAUUUAUGGGGAGGAAAGAGCGCGUAGGCGGGAUAGCAAGGCAGAUGUGAAAUCCUAUGGCUUAACCGCGGAACGGCUUUGGAAACUGGGGAACUGGAGUGCUGGAGAGGCAAGCGGAAUUCCUAGUGUAGCGGUGAAAUGCGUAGAUAUUAGGAGGAACACCAGUGGCGAAGGCGGCUUGCUGGACAGUAACUGACGUUGAGGCUCGAAAGCGUGGGUAGCAAACAGGAUUAGAUACCCGAGUAGUC